Mesocricetus auratus (golden hamster) is the source of this 4397-nucleotide long non-coding RNA. RefSeq lists it as uncharacterized. The transcript is spliced from 2 exons. Lineage: Eukaryota; Metazoa; Chordata; Mammalia; Rodentia; Cricetidae. The record is from RefSeq and is a predicted model, not a curated record.
CGGGGCGCUGACGGGGAGAGAGCGGGGGAGGCGCGAAGUUCCUGCCGCGUGGAGACGGGUGGUGGACGCGGUCGUUCCGUUCCGAGGCACAAAAGCCAGGAAGUUUCAGCCCUCCGGGGGCGCCGCGCUUCGCCGCUCCGCUCCGCGCGUCAGUUGGCAGCCGCCCGCCGAGGAUGCCACCCCCGGGUGGCGUGGGCCCCCGCCGGCGUGACGCGUCGGGUGGCUGGCGGUGCCGCCCGGAGCGGAGGAAUGCCCUGUGAGACGCACUCGAACUUCCCGGAGCGAGCGCGGGGCUCGGAGCCGCGGUCGGGAGGAAGAGCGUCGUCUCCGGGAGGGAUUCCGUUAGUGUCGGUCGCCGGGGGAGGGGCGGAGGGCACGGCGAGAGCGGCGAGGAGCCGGCGUUUUCUAUGGAGAACGAGACUUGGCUGCGACCGCUCUGCUGUGUACUGCUAAUUGGGAGAAGUGAAAGAUGAAGGCAAAUCAGAUGUCAGGUGAUAAACUGAAGAAUCAAAGCACCUAACAAAUAUCAACUAGAGAAAUAUGAACAGUAGAAGAAAUGUUAAGGAUUAUCAAAUCGAGUGUUGGAAGCUGAGUUUCUGUGAGCAUUUAUAUCCACGAAAAGCAGUAAAGCUCCCUAGGUAACUUUUGUUUGGGGAGAUGGGCAGGUGAGUCUAGGUUUUUUGUUUGUUUUGGUUUUUGGUUGUUUUUGUGGAGGAAAACGAGUAACUUGCCACAGUCUCAGAAUUGGAACUAAACUUGUUAAUCUAUUCUACGACAAGUCCUUUCUGUAUUACACUGCUUCUCACGUCACAGGAAAAGAAAAGCCUGAAAAUCUUACUUGAUAUAAAGUCAAUGGAUUUGAAGCAUAUGUAACUUCAGCAUAUGUAUCAUGGGUUGACCAGUUCCCCAAAGAUCUCUUAAAAUUAUGACCUAUAGUGCCUUCCUUAAUUACCACACUAAGGCAAAAAGGAGAAGAAAGAGGGAGGGAACGAAGAAAAUAGAAAGAACUUAAGAUUUUUGUAGAGGGAAGAAAAUAAAAAGAAUGAAUUUAACUUUUUAUAGAGGUUGCAUGAGGUCCAAGGACAAUACAACCAGUGAAGGAAAGGCAGCAGAAGCUGUCCUGUUAGAGCAGAGGCAUCCAUGGAGAAAGCCUCGCGCAGUGUUCUCUGAGGACACACCUGACUUUGGGAGAGUUAACACUUGGGAGAUAAUAAAGAGGGUACUGGUUACGUACACCGUGUUGGUCCAAUAGGUAAUUAUACUGGGGAAAAUGGAAGCUACAUAUAUGGAAGAGGAAAACUAGAAAGCCUUUUCUGGCAGGCUAGUAAUAGCAGGGUCAACCUCUAUAUGUACAAAUAUUAAGUAUGUUCAUACUCUGUCCCUUGAGAGACUCUGUGAGCAAUGAAUCCAUAAAAAUGAGUCAGUUUGGUUUCUAAAUACAAUUAUCCAUUUUUCUUAGCAAAAUAGUUGAUUCCAAGACUGGAGGAGAAAAAAUACAAUAUGAAUUUGGAGGCUUAGUAGUGUCAGAUGAAAGUAUUUAAGCAAAAAACUGCCUGGCAUGGUGGCGCACAUCUUUUAAUGCCAGCACUCGGGAGGCAGAGGCAGGUGGAUCUCUGUGAGUUUGAGGCCAGCAUGGUCUAUAGAGUGAGUUCCAGGACAGCGGGAAUAAGCACUAUAGCUGUUAACUAUAAUUAUAAUUGUUUGGAAGCCCUGUCUCAAAAACCAAACCAAAAAAAAGCAAAAACUAAUAAAGCAGGUUAAAGGGCUAUACAUGUGCCAAUUUGCACUUCUUGGACUUCACUGAGAAUAAGUGAGCUUCAUGGGAAAGACUGCGUCCAUGCUGCGGCACUUGCGCACACUGCGGAAGAGAAUUUUCCAGUCUCCCCCACCCACCGUUCCAUCUGGAGGAUGGCAAACUCACCUAGGGCUUGCUGGGCAAGCCCUUGAACCUGUUGAGCCAUCCCACUGGCCCACAGCUGCAUUCUUCUGUUGUUGAUGAUCACAUUUUACAGCCCAUCAAAUAGCAUGACAAGCUGUAACAUAAUUUCAAGUAAAUCCCCACAAAGCUCUAGUCACUGUAAGGGAGUUGAAUGUAGCUUGAGGAGGCGCACUUGGCCUAGCAUGCCUGAGACCUAAGGUUCCACCACUGUAGCUGCAACUAAAGCGUGUAGCAGAGAAUACGGGGGGGGGGGUAACUUUAUGAUGCUGACAAGCCCAGUAGACAGCACCUGAGACACCAUCCGAGUCAUCUGAUCAAAUGCCAGUAUAGUGACAAAUGGACGUUCAAUUCCACUUAAUAGAAUUCAUUAAGAAGAGCCUUAGUUAGUAAAGCCCUGUAUGCAUGUUUGGUCUACCUGAUUGAGUCUGCAGUUUGGAAAUGAAAAUAGCUUUAAAGGGCACAUGAAAAAAAUCAGUAAGACAACAUUAGGAUAAAAAAAUGUAGGGGGGGUAAAGAAGCUGUGCACACCAGUGUUCAAUGCUGAGGAACUAGGGAAUGCAAGACAGGACUCUGAAUGAUGCCAAUAUUUUAGUGUCAGCCUCCAGACAUAGCAAUUACGUACAUGGGUUUGGAUUUUGCAUGCUAUCUCUAUGACAACUUAUGCUGGAGUGUUAGGUUUUUUUAUUUUAAUGAAAAUGAUAAGAAUAUCUGCCUCAGCUUAGGGUUCAUUAAAUGAGAUAACCAACUGCUGAGUACAGCUUAGCACAUAAUACGCCAUAUAGCUGUUAACUGUAAUUACCUAUAAUUGUUUGGUUAUUAAUAGUAUUAGAGAGGACGAAGGAGCAACUAGAAAAUUACCCCAAAUUAGAGUUUGAAAGAAUUUUUAAAAAUAUCAACUGGCAGGAUGGCUCAGAGGGGAAAGAUGCUUGCCACCAAGCCUGACAACCUUGAGUUCUAUCCCCAAUAUCUGCAUAGUGGAAGCAGAGAACCAACUCCUGUAAGUUGUCCUCUGACCUAUGCACACGCACACAGGCACGCGCGCAGGCACGCACGCACGCACGCGCACACACAAAGGAAAAGUACACCUUGCAGAAAGACACCUGCCUCCAUACAAAGUUGACAAAUUAUGCUGGGACUGCCUCUGUCCAGUUUGUGGACGCUACAGAACUGGUGGUAAGUCUCUAGGUUUUGCAUGUGUUUAGUACUCAUCCACAAAACCAUGUCUCUGUUAAGGAAUAUUUGCUCCAACUUAGCAAUUCUGUUUAUAGUACUAUUGGCACUUUUUGUUUGUUUGUUUGUUUGUUUUUUGUUUGGUUGGUUGGUUUUCAAGACAGGGUUUCUGUGUAUUGUUUUGGAGGCUGUUCUGGAACUUGCUCUGUAGACCAUGCUGGUCUCGAACUCACAGAGAUCCACCUGCCUCUGCCUCCUAAGUGCUGGGAUCAAAGGCGUGUGCCACCACCGCCCGGCUUAUUGGCACUUUUCUAUCUCCGUAAUUGCUAAUUUUAUGCAUUAAUUGGUAGUGGUUCAUUGAGAUUUUAAUGUUUCUUAGAUGUAUGUGUGAGAAUGUUUUGCUUGCAUAUAUGUAUUAUGCACCACAUGCAUGGCUACAAGAAGUGUUAGAAGUUAAAAGGGAGUCACAGAUGGUUGUAAACUACCAUAUGGUGCUGGGAACUGAACCUGGGUCCUCUGCAAGAGCAACCAGUGCUCUUACCCUGAGCCAUCGCUCCAGCCUCGUGGUUUGUUUUUGUAAAGCACUUUCUAUUACUUAUCUCACAGUGGCUCAUCGUAUUAACCAACGGAGACAGAAACACCCUCACACUUGUAAUGAGAAAGUGGGAAGGGUUAGUUCUGUGAGAGAGAGGGAAAAGGAUAAAUUCUGGUGAAGCAAGGAAACCCAUCAUAGGUGCUGGAGAGAGAAGGAAAACAGCCAGUAUGUAAAACUAGCAGCUGUGCUAAUAGUGUGGUUGGCCUUGCUUCUAAUCAGGAGCUAGGAAAACGGUACACUGACAGUCCACACUAAGAUACUGAAGGGCCAGCUGGGGUGGGACACACCUUUAAUCCCAGCUCAGGGGGCAGAGUCAGCACGAUCUCUGAGUUCAAGGCCAGUCUUGUCGUACAGAGUGAGUUCUGGGACAGCCAGGCCUACACAGAGAAGUCUGAAAAACAAAAACAAAACAAAAAAGAUAGUAUUGAAGGAGUCAGUGAGAUUGCUAGGAAGUGAAGGCACUUGCUGCUAGGCCUGAUAUCCUGAGUGCAGUACCAGGAACCAUGGAGUUGAAGAGCCAGCUCCUGAAAGUUGUUCUCUGACCUCAACAUGUCUAGUGUGGCAUGCAUGUGCCUCAACUCCCCCCACGCUAAAUAAAUAAACGUAAAUUUUUAUUCCCUGUAUAUGUCUUAUCAAUCUUUUUGCCCAUGAAUAGCUCAUUUAUGCUCUAAUAAAUCUGUAGGUUCAACUGAA